UACGUAGGUGGCAAGCGUUGUCCGGAAUUACUGGGCGUAAAGCGUGCGCAGGCGGUUUUGUAAGUCUGACGUGAAAUCCCCGGGCUCAACCUGGGAAUUGCGUUGGAGACUGCAAGGCUAGAGUUUGGCAGAGGGGGGUAGAAUUCCACGUGUAGCAGUGAAAUGCGUAGAUAUGUGGAGGAACACCGAUGGCGAAGGCAGCCCCCUGGGUCAAGACUGACGCUCAUGCACGAAAGCGUGGGGAGCAAACAGG
Molecule: ribosomal RNA, 253 nt
Filed under: uncultured bacterium
Lineage: Bacteria
Description: partial 16S ribosomal RNA
Rfam family: Bacterial small subunit ribosomal RNA
Source: RNAcentral